RNAcentral lists this ribosomal RNA (575 nucleotides) under uncultured bacterium. RNAcentral describes it as "partial 16S ribosomal RNA". It matches the Rfam family "Bacterial small subunit ribosomal RNA", at positions 355 to 937 of the family's 1533-position model. The record is from RNAcentral.
UGGGGAAUUUUGGACAAUGGGCGAAAGCCUGAUCCAGCAAUGCCGCGUGUGUGAAGAAGGCCUUCGGGUUAUAAAGCACUUUUGUCCGGAAAGAAAUGGCUCUGGUUAAUACCUGGGGUCGAUGACGGUACCGGAAGAAUAAGGACCGGCUAACUACGUGCCAGCAGCCGCGGUAAUACGUAGGGUCCAAGCGUUAAUCGGAAUUACUGGGCGUAAAGCGUGCGCAGGCGGUUGUGCAAGACCGAUGUGAAAUCCCGAGNUACUUGGAUUGCAUGUGACUGCACGGCUAGAGUGUGUCAGAGGGGGUAGAAUUCCACGUGUAGCAGUGAAAUGCGUAGAGAUGUGGAGGAAUACCGAUGGCGAAGGCAGCCCCUGGAGUAACACUGACGCUCAUGCACGAAAGCGUGGGGAGCAAACAGGAUUAGAUACCCUGGUAGUCCACGCCCUAAACGAUGUCAACUAGUUGUUGGGGAUUCAUUUCCUUAGUAACGUAGCUAACGCGUGAAGUUGACCGCCUGGGGAGUACGGUCGCAAGAUUAAAACUCAAAUGAAUUGACGGGGUCAUAGCUGUUUCC